AACUAGGAAGAGUGGUUCUUUAUUACACAUGGGAACACGGGCUGUGUUUGUACAGUGCACCACUCCCGUCAAUCUUUCUGUUCUCUCCUUCGAAACCGAAGAAAGCCAAACCACAAAAAAUGCAUAGACAAUCCAAUAUUUUUCCGCAUUUGCCCUCCCGUGUCGAACAAUAAUACACUCAUCUUCACAGAGCUGAUCAACUUUUAACUUUCUGUUCUCUAACAUGGCAACAAGCUUUCUCUCUCUUUGGGUUCUCCUUCUGCUCCUGUACCCAGUAAGGCCCGAUGUGGACGAUGCCGAUACCUUGUUGAACGGGUUCAGCCGAGGGUUCGGUGCUGCAAGCACCAACAUGAGCUUAAACGGCAUUGCAUCCAUUGAGAAAAAUGGCCUACUUCGCCUUACAAACGACACGCUCAUGGCAAAAGGCCACGCGUUUUAUUUCCGCCCAAUUCAACUCAAGAACUCCAGCGGCAACGCCAUGUCCUUCUCUACUUCCUUCGCUUUCGCUAUAGUCACCCUGCCUGAUAGACAAGGAGGGGAUGGCCUCGCGUUCACGAUCUCUGCCUCAAAAGAGCUUCUUGGGGGUCAGCCGGGAUCUUAUCUUGGCCUAUUCAACGCCACCAAUGAUGGGCUUCCCUCGAACUACAUAAUCGCGGUCGAAUUCGACACUUUCAAGAAUAUUGAGUUCAAUGAAGAAAAUGGAAACCAUGUUGGCAUCGACAUCAACAGCAUAAUAUCGAACGUAUCUGUUCCGGUCAAGCAGUUUCAGGGUGGUGGUGACACGAACAAGGUUGACCUUAACUUGAAAAGUGGUCUGGUAAUUCAGGCAUGGAUCGACUAUAAUUCUCCAAUAAAUCAAUUAGACGUGAGGAUUGCGACGGAUUCUACCAAACCCAGGUCUUCAAUUUUGUCCUAUAAAGUAAACCUCUCACAAUAUCUUCAAGAAUCCAUGUACGUCGGGUUUUCUGCUGGCACUGGCGCAUCCACAAGCUCCCAUUAUAUACUCGGUUGGAGCUUCAACAGGAAUGGAGAUGCCAGAACUAUCAAUCUUGUUCAACUCCCGAAGAUUCCUACUAACACCAAAAAGAAUCACACAGGCCUAAUUGUUGGCGUCUCGGUUUCAUGUGUUUUGGCUGUGAUUUUGGUGACUGCCGCGGCUUUUUACAUCAUCUGGAGAAUCAAGACGGCUGAUGUGAUUGAAGCCUGGGAGCAUGAUAUUGGUCCUCAUAGAUUUCCUUACCAGGAGCUGAACCAAGCGACGAGGGGUUUCAGAGACAAAGAGCUAAUUGGGUCUGGUGGAUUCGGUCGAGUUUAUAAAGGAGUCCUGCCAAAUUCAGAUACCCAAGUUGCUGUUAAGCGUAUCUCCCAUGACUCAAAACAGGGUUUGCAAGAGUUCGUGUCAGAGGUUGCUAUUAUUGGUCGUCUUCGCCACAGAAACUUGGUUCAAUUACUGGGUUGGUGUCGUCGGGAAGCUGAUCUACUUCUUGUGUAUGAUUUCAUGCCUAAUGGAAGCUUGGACAGGCAUCUCUUUGAUGAGCCUAAAGCAACCCUGAGCUGGGAGCAAAGGUUCAAGGUCAUCAAAGGAGUGGCUUCAGGGCUUCUCUACUUACAUGAGGAGUGGGAGCAAACCGUAGUUCACAGAGACAUCAAGGCAGGAAAUGUUUUAUUGGAUUCUGAAUUUAACCCAAAGCUGAGUGAUUUUGGUCUGGCCAAGCUGUACGAGCACGGGUCCAAACCAAGGACUACCAGGGUGGUGGGCACGCUGGGUUAUUUGGCACCUGAGCUCACACGCACAGGUAAGGCCACAACCAGUUCGGAUGUUUUUGCCUUUGGUGCUCUGUUGCUCGAAGUCGCAUGUGGUAGAAGACCCAUUAAUUCUGAUGCAUCGUCUGAGGAGUUCAUGCUGGUGGAUUGGGUGUGGCAGAAGUGGAGAGUAGGAGCAAUUCUUGGUGUUACGGACCCAAAGUUGGGGGGCGAAUUUGACGAGUCUGAAGUCGUUUUGGUGCUUAAACUGGGCUUAAUGUGUUCCAAUGAUGACCCGGAGGCACGCCCCACGAUGCGGCAGUUGGUGAGGUACUUGGAGGGCGAGUUGGCGCUGCAGGAGGAGGUGGCGGAGCCAUAUAGGAAAAAAGUACGUGGUGCUACUGCUAGCGAUUCGUUUGAGAAUUUCUUGCAAUCCUUUCCAACUACGUCGUCGUAUUCUCAGAAGGCCAGCACGUGGGCUUCCGUCGGUAACAGUGGGAAUGAUGAUGCUGAAACUGGUUUGACCCCUCCAUUUUCAGUUCUCAGCAGAGAGAGACCGGUAGUUAGGCAAAGCAGCAUAUAAGAAGAAUCUUCGAUCCUGUCUCUGGAGGUUUUGCUGAUUUGGAAGGAACCCAAGACCCAAAAGCUAGCUGGAAAUUAUGAUGGAGUUGCCUACAUAUGUUCCGUGGACUUUUAAUUCUAGAGACAUAAAGCCACGAAAUGAUUUGUUGGGAUUCUGAGUUUGAUAAAAGGUUUAGCAAUUUUGGUCUUGCUAAGGCGCCACACGAGCACACUCAGCUCAUACCCUAGCACCACCAGGGCGCCCAGGGUUGUUUAACUUAUUUUGGGACCUAUGCUCACAUGGACAUGGUUAGGCAAGCCUAGCAUCAGCUCGGAUACGUUAAUUUGCAACUAUUCAUGAUUUGUUUGAGAAGAUCCCGUGGAUUCGGACGCAUAGGCGAUUUACAUCUUUUAGCUUCAAUCUCAUCACCUUUGUCGAGCUUUACAUCCUGCUUUGUUUUUAAGAUUUUCGAUUUAAACCAUGGUCGCUUCAAUAUUUAUAAUGUCAUCCCGUUAAAAGAUAAUGAAAUGAUGAUGAUUAAUUUUU
Molecule: RNA transcript, 2851 nt
Organism: Carya illinoinensis
Lineage: Eukaryota; Viridiplantae; Streptophyta; Magnoliopsida; Fagales; Juglandaceae
Gene name: L-type lectin-domain containing receptor kinase S.4-like
Exons: 3
Source: RefSeq, a predicted model, not a curated record